GGAGAUAUGGCUCAGUUGGUAGAGUGUUUGUCUAGCAUGUAUAAGUCCCUGGGUUCAAUCCCCAACACCACCA
This 73-nucleotide transfer RNA is filed under the name Urocitellus parryii (Arctic ground squirrel). RNAcentral describes it as "Spermophilus parryii (Arctic ground squirrel) tRNA". It matches the Rfam family "tRNA". Rfam says of the family: Transfer RNA (tRNA) molecules are approximately 80 nucleotides in length. Their secondary structure includes four short double-helical elements and three loops (D, anti-codon, and T loops). RNAcentral also lists the same sequence under 2 other names. The record is from Rfam by way of RNAcentral. Lineage: Eukaryota; Metazoa; Chordata; Mammalia; Rodentia; Sciuridae.